RNAcentral lists this ribosomal RNA (200 nucleotides) under uncultured Actinomycetales bacterium. Its description in RNAcentral is "partial 16S ribosomal RNA". It matches the Rfam family "Bacterial small subunit ribosomal RNA", at positions 131 to 334 of the family's 1533-position model. The record is from RNAcentral. Lineage: Bacteria; Bacillati; Actinomycetota; Actinomycetes; Actinomycetales.
CUGCACUUCGGGAUAAGCCUGGGAAACUGGGUCUAAUACCGGAUAGGACGAUGGUUUGGAUGCCAUUGUGGAAAGUUUUUUCGGUGUGGGAUGAGCUCGCGGCCUAUCAGCUUGUUGGUGGGGUAAUGGCCUACCAAGGCGUCGACGGGUAGCCGGCCUGAGAGGGUGUACGGCCACAUUGGGACUGAGAUACGGCCCAG